AGGGCACCACCAGGAGUGGAGCCUGCGGCUUAAUUUGACUCAACACGGGAAAACUUACCUGGUCCUGACACUAGAAGGAUUGACAGAUUGAUAGCUCUUUCUUGAUUUGGUGGAUGGUGGUGCAUGGCCGUUCUUAGUUGGUGGAGUGAUUUGUCUGGUUAAUUCCGAUAACGAACGAGACUCUAGCCUAUUAAAUAACACACAGAAUCUUGUCUUCUGUGGCGUUUCUUAAUGGGAUCAAGUGUGUUUAACGCUUUGAAACAGAGCAAUAACAGGUCUGUGAUGCCCUUAGAUGUUCGGGGCCGCACGCGCGCUACAUUGAGAGACAAAAUGAGUUUUCUAGUCUUUAAUAAGGCUAGUAAUCUUUGAACGUUUUUCUUAAUGGGGGAUAGGGGAUUGCAAUUGUGCCCCCUUGAACGAGGAAUUCCCAGUAAGUGCUAGUCAUUAGCUAGUACUGAUUACGUCCCUGCCCUUUGUACACGCCGCCCGUCGCUACUACCGAUUGAAUGGAUUAGUGAG
This 519-nucleotide ribosomal RNA is filed under the name uncultured eukaryote. RNAcentral's name for it is "SSU rRNA". It matches the Rfam family "Eukaryotic small subunit ribosomal RNA", at positions 1161 to 1705 of the family's 1831-position model. The record is from RNAcentral.